Molecule: long non-coding RNA, 143 nt
Organism: Puntigrus tetrazona (Sumatra barb)
Lineage: Eukaryota; Metazoa; Chordata; Actinopteri; Cypriniformes; Cyprinidae
Exons: 2
Source: RefSeq, a predicted model, not a curated record
UGACGAUGAAGAGACCACAUCUGCUGUGACAGAAGUGGACAAUGCUGGUAGAUCCACUGAGUACAUACCUAGGGGUUUGCCCACAGAUGAGGGUCCUUCAACCUCAGCACACAAUCUAAGCAGGGUAACAAUUUGUGUCCAGG